CGCUGGCGGCGUGCUUAACACAUGCAAGUCGAACGGAAAGGCCCUGCUUUGUGGGGUGCUCGAGUGGCGAACGGGUGAGUAACACGUGAGUAACCUGCCCUUGACUUUGGGAUAACUUCAGGAAACUGGGGCUAAUACCGGAUAGGAGCUCCUGCUGCAUGGUGGGGGUUGGAAAGUUUCGGCGGUUGGGGAUGGACUCGCGGCUUAUCAGCUUGUUGGUGGGGUAGUGGCUUACCAAGGCUUUGACGGGUAGCCGGCCUGAGAGGGUGACCGGCCACAUUGGGACUGAGAUACGGCCCAGACUCCUACGGGAGGCAGCAGUGGGGAAUAUUGCACAAUGGGCGGAAGCCUGAUGCAGCAACGCCGCGUGCGGGAUGACGGCCUUCGGGUUGUAAACCGCUUUCGCCUGUGACGAAGCGUGAGUGACGGUAAUGGGUAAAGAAGCACCGGCUAACUACGUG
This 461-nucleotide ribosomal RNA is filed under the name uncultured bacterium. RNAcentral's name for it is "bacterial SSU rRNA". It matches the Rfam family "Bacterial small subunit ribosomal RNA", at positions 34 to 507 of the family's 1533-position model. The record is from RNAcentral.